Molecule: long non-coding RNA, 816 nt
Organism: Corvus hawaiiensis (hawaiian crow)
Lineage: Eukaryota; Metazoa; Chordata; Aves; Passeriformes; Corvidae
Exons: 4
Source: RefSeq, a predicted model, not a curated record
UCAGGACUGGAUUGAAAAAAGGGCAGUCCAUGCCAUGGGUAGGUUGCAGGUUGCAGGGAAGGGCUGAGACCCAGCAGCAGCAUCCCACCGCUUCUACACGUUUCUAAGACAACACUUCUUCACACUUCUGCUCAGAGGAUCCACUCUGUUCGUAGGAAAAGUAGACCUUGGUGUAUUUCCUGUCAAAGCACAUGGAAAUACAAGUGGAUGUGCCCUUGCCAGCCCACGUGAGUGAAAAGUGGGACUGCAGUGUUGUAUCAUAUACCCAUGAAAGUGAGGGCUGAAGCCCAGUGUCCUGCCUGACCAGAAGUCACUUCAAACGAAGGUCUGAAGGCUGAUGUCUCUGACAAAACACCGGUUCUCUGACUCUAUCCCAUGGUUUGGUUAACGCAUGUGGACUCGAAAAUCUAAGAUUGCGUCAAGGCCAAGAAAACUGGAGCAAUUUGCUGCUACACUGAAGUGCAAAUGUCUGCCUAGGACAGAAGGAAACUGCUGAUCUGGCACAUGGAUUUCAGCAGUAGAUGAUUUUGUUUCACUAGAGCUUGGAAUGAUGAUGACAGAUGUUAGCUCCUGCAACAGAGACUCUGCAUAAAGCUGCUCUGAAGCAGCCAUCAGAUCCAUACACUUGCUAAUCAAGUCACAGUUAAAGUGCUAAGCUUCUCAUUCCCGAAGUUUAUCAGGUUUGGUGCUAGACUUCUAAUUGUAUCACCAAUUGACAUUUUUUGCAUUCUCUUGGGCCUUUAUAGUACAGGAAGCUGUGAGGUAAAAAGGUUUUGUAGAUUUCUUCUGAAAAUGAAAAUAAAGUGGAUAGUUCUA